RNAcentral lists this ribosomal RNA (280 nucleotides) under uncultured bacterium. RNAcentral's name for it is "partial 16S ribosomal RNA". It matches the Rfam family "Bacterial small subunit ribosomal RNA", at positions 202 to 492 of the family's 1533-position model. The record is from RNAcentral.
UGGAGCAUUCGCUUCAGGAGGGGGUCGCGGCCGAGUUAGUUAUUUGGCUGGGGUAUGGCCCACCAAGACAGUGAUCGGUAUCCUGGCCUGAGAGGGCAGCACUGGACACACUGGAACUGAAACACGGGUCCUAGACUCCUACGGGAGAGCAGCUAGUGGGGAAUUUUGCGCAAUGGGGGAAACCCUGACGCAGCCAACGCCGUCGUGGAGGAUGAAAUCCCUUGGGAUGUACCAUCUCCUUUCGAUCGGGACGAUUGAUGACGGUACCGGAAAAGAAGCC